This is a long non-coding RNA of Prionailurus viverrinus (fishing cat), 125 nucleotides long. RefSeq lists it as uncharacterized. The record is from RefSeq and is a predicted model, not a curated record. The transcript is spliced from 3 exons. NCBI's taxonomy places the organism in Eukaryota, Metazoa, Chordata, Mammalia, Carnivora, Felidae.
GUAUUAGAGACAGUAAUUCACUGGGUUUUAUAGCGGCUUUCUGAUUUUGGUAGUCCAUUGAAGAAGGGAGUUUGAAAGUUGUUGUAUACUGAUAACGAUUGUCUGCCCAUGUCCUGCCUGAAAUA